This 137-nucleotide ribosomal RNA is filed under the name uncultured eukaryote. Its description in RNAcentral is "partial 18S ribosomal RNA". It matches the Rfam family "Eukaryotic small subunit ribosomal RNA", at positions 1299 to 1458 of the family's 1831-position model. The record is from RNAcentral.
UGGUGGAGUGAUUUGUCUGGUUAAUUCCGAUAACGAACGAGACCUUAACCUGCUAAAUAGCCAGGCCGGCUUUGCUGGUCGCCGGCUUCUUAGAGGGACUGUCAGCGUGUAGCUGACGGAAGUUUGAGGCAAUAACA